UUGACCUCGAAUCAGGUAGGACUACCCGCUGAACUUAAGCAUAUCAAUAAGCGGAGGAAAAGAAACUAACAAGGAUUCCCCUAGUAACUGCGAGUGAAGCGGGAUGAGCUCAAAUUUUGAAUCUGGCGGUCUUCAGGCCGUCCGAGUUGUAAUCUAGAGAAGCGUCUUCCGCGCUGGACCGUGUACAAGUCUCCUGGAAGGGAGCGUCGUAGAGGGUGAGAAUCCCGUCUUUGACACGGACCCCCAGUGCUAUGUGAUGCGCUCUCGACGAGUCGAGUUGUUUGGGAAUGCAGCUCAAAUCGGGUGGUAAA
This 311-nucleotide ribosomal RNA is filed under the name uncultured Paxillus. RNAcentral describes it as "eukaryotic LSU rRNA". It matches the Rfam family "Eukaryotic large subunit ribosomal RNA", at positions 1 to 303 of the family's 3401-position model. Lineage: Eukaryota; Fungi; Basidiomycota; Agaricomycetes; Boletales; Paxillaceae. The record is from RNAcentral.